GACGAACGCUGGCGGCGUGCUUAACACAUGCAAGUCGAACGGAAAGGCCCCCAUCUUGGUGGGGGUGCUCGAGUGGCGAACGGGUGAGUAACACGUGGGUGAUCUGCCCGGUAUUUCGGGAUAAGCUUGGGAAACUGGGUCUAAUACCGGAUAGGAUCAUGGUUCAGGGUCUUAUGGGGGAAAGAUUAUUGUUUUGGUGCGGGAUCACGGCGGGGCGGGUCGGUGUGGUGGUGGGGGAAUGGCCUACCUAGGCCUCGACGGGUAGCCGGCCUGGGGGGGUGGCCGGCCACGUGGGGACUGGGAGACGGCCCAGCCUCGUACGGGAGGCGGCAGUAGGGAGUAGUGCACGUGGGGCGCAUGCCUGAUGCAGCGACAGCGCGUGGGGGAUGACGGCCGUCGGGUAGUAAACUCCUUUCGUUAGGAACGAAGCCGCACUUUUUUGGGGUGUGGUUGCGGUACCUUUGUUAAGAAGCACCGGCUAACUACGUG
Molecule: ribosomal RNA, 489 nt
Filed under: uncultured bacterium
Lineage: Bacteria
Description: partial 16S ribosomal RNA
Rfam family: Bacterial small subunit ribosomal RNA
Source: RNAcentral